RNAcentral lists this long non-coding RNA (378 nucleotides) under Gossypium barbadense (sea-island cotton). RNAcentral describes it as "long non-coding RNA (GBAR_LNC012035)". The record is from RNAcentral. Lineage: Eukaryota; Viridiplantae; Streptophyta; Magnoliopsida; Malvales; Malvaceae.
GUACAUAUAUGUAUAUGAUAUACAUGUGUCAUGUAUGGAUGUAUCUAAAGCUUAACCAAGUAUGACUAAGAAUUGCUAUGCCAGGGCCCUGUACGAAACUCCAUUAACAUUCAGCAACUACAAACAUAUGGUUUUUCAAGAAGAUUUGGACAAGGUGAUAACAGCAUUCAACUUGGCAAGGCAUUCAGUAGGUAAACUAAGGAAAGUAUUCAUGAAGACAUCAUCAAUAGGUUCAACAAAUGCUACCCCAACCAAUUUGCAAUUCCCCUCUUCAUCUAAUCUCUCACCUCUUCCACUUCUCAUCUUCCCUUUCGAUUCAUCUGACGUUAAAACCGUCUUCACCACCAACGGCGGCGCUUCGUAAAUACUCCCGACCGA